AUUGAACGCUGGCGGCAGGCUUAACACAUGCAAGUCGAGCGGGGGAAGGUAGCUUGCUACUGGACCUAGCGGCGGACGGGUGAGUAAUGCUUAGGAAUCUGCCUAUUAGUGGGGGACAACAUCUCGAAAGGGAUGCUAAUACCGCAUACGUCCUACGGGAGAAAGCAGGGGAUCUUCGGACCUUGCGCUAAUAGAUGAGCUUAAGUCGGAUUAGCUAGUUGGUGGGGUAAAGGCCUACCAAGGCGACGAUCUGUAGCGGGUCUGAGAGGAUGAUCCGCCACACUGGGACUGAGACACGGCCCAGACUCCUACGGGAGGCAGCAGUGGGGAAUAUUGGACAAUGGGGGGAACCCUGAUCCAGCCAUGCCGCGUGUGUGAAGAAGGCCUUAUGGUUGUAAAGCACUUUAAGCGAGGAGGAGGCUACUUUAGUUAAUACCUAGAGAUAGUGGACGUUACUCGCAGAAUAAGCACCGGCUAACUCUGUGCCAGCCGCCGCAGUAA
RNAcentral lists this ribosomal RNA (501 nucleotides) under uncultured bacterium. Its description in RNAcentral is "partial 16S ribosomal RNA". It matches the Rfam family "Bacterial small subunit ribosomal RNA", at positions 30 to 523 of the family's 1533-position model. The record is from RNAcentral.